RNAcentral lists this transfer RNA (1444 nucleotides) under Bos indicus x Bos taurus (hybrid cattle). RNAcentral's name for it is "lncRNA (ENSBIXG00005005835.1)". The stretch from base 820 to 892 matches the Rfam family "tRNA". Lineage: Eukaryota; Metazoa; Chordata; Mammalia; Artiodactyla; Bovidae. The record is from RNAcentral.
CCCCUGGGCUCCUGGACACAACUUCCCCAGGACCAUCCUCCCAAUGGCUGCCCACACUUAGGACAGUGCUGUCCCAAAGCCAGAGACACCUUGAGGUCAGCUGGGCAAUGCCUGGACUUCCCGACCUGCAGGUCCCAGGUAAGGCCGCCCUGCGACCCUCCAGACGUCCAGAGCACCGCAUCCGUCUGUUCGUCUGUCCAUCUCACUGAAGCCCAGGUUUGGCUGCUCUUCUGCUCCUCUCCUCAAAGUGCAGACCAGCCCCGCUGUCCUGGACUUUGGGGAAUGUGUUUAUCUGGCCAAAAGGACACUGAUAAAUGCCACCAUCUACCAGCCUAUAUGUUACAGAGCACACAGUGGAUUCACAGCAGUAAGUGGAGGGGACGCAGUCUCAGGACCAAGGAUGCUGCCUGUAAGGGGAGCAGUGUAAACUCAGCUUCCUGGAAACUCAGACACACAUGCCCGGAUCAUCUCUCAUGUGCUCUGCUUAUGCACAAAACUCGACGCUCACACAUAGAACGCAAGUGCAUGUGAUCUGCAGGUACACUUCUGUGACUAUGGGUUUUACUGGAGUCUUUGCAAGCAUGAUGUGUCACUCCUCACCUGUGUGGUAAUGCCCCUGAGUCACCUGGAUGCCUUCCCUACUUGGAAGUGCUGAACUGGGUUCCCCAGAGUCAUAUGUUGGAAACUCUGGCCCCCAGGACUCAGAAUGUGACCGUGUUUGGAGACAGGGCCUUUACAGAGAGAAUUAAGGUAAAACAGGGCCAGUGGGCUCUGAUCUAAUCUGACUGGUGUCCUUGUAGGGAGAGGCAAUCAGGGUCUUCCCUGGUGGCUCAGUGGUAAAGAAUCUGCCUUCCAGUGCAGGAGACAACAGGUUCAAUCCCUGAUUUGGGAGGAUCCCACAUGCCAUGGCGGAAAAGGCAAUGGCAUCCCACUCCAGUACUCUUGCCUGGAAAAUCCCAUGGAUGGAGGAGCCUGGUAGGCUGCAGUCCAUGGGGUUGCUAAGAGUCGGACACGACUGAGCGACUUCACUUUCACUUUUCACUUUCAUGCAUUGGAGAAGGAAAUGGCAACCCACUCCAGUGUUCUUGCCUGGAGAAUCCCAGGAACGGGGGAGCCUGGUGGGCUGCCGUCUAUGGGGUCACACAGAGUCGGACAUGACUGAAGCGACUUAGCAGCAGCAGCAGCAGCAGCGCAUGCCAUGGAGCAACUAAGCCCGUGUGCCACAACUACUGAGCCUGUGCUCUAGAGCCUGGGAGCCACAACUACUAAAGCCCAUUCACUGUAGAGCCCGUGCUCCACAACAAGAGAAGCCCCCAGAGUGAGAAGUCUGUGCAUCGAAACUAGAGAGCAGCCCUGCUUGCCGCAACUAGAGAAAGCCCUCACAGCAACAAACACCCAGUACAGCCAUAAAUAAAUAAAUAAAAUUGUUUUAAGAAAUACUACA